Molecule: ribosomal RNA, 501 nt
Filed under: uncultured bacterium
Lineage: Bacteria
Description: bacterial SSU rRNA
Rfam family: Bacterial small subunit ribosomal RNA
Source: RNAcentral
GGCGAACGCUGGCGGCGUGCCUAAUACAUGCAAGUCGAGCGGAAUGAUGAAGAAGCUUGCUUCUUCUGAUUUUAGCGGCGGACGGGUGAGUAACACGUGGGCAACCUACCUUGUAGAUUGGGAUAACUCCGGGAAAACCGGGGCUAAUACCGAAUAAUCCAUUUUGCUUCAUGGCGAGAUGUUAAAAGGCGGCUUCGGCUGUCACUACGAGAUGGGCCCGCGGCGCAUUAGCUAGUUGGUAGGGUAAUGGCCUACCAAGGCGACGAUGCGUAGCCGACCUGAGAGGGUGAUCGGCCACACUGGGACUGAGACACGGCCCAGACUCCUACGGGAGGCAGCAGUAGGGAAUCUUCCACAAUGGACGAAAGUCUGAUGGAGCAACGCCGCGUGAGUGAAGAAGGUUUUCGGAUCGUAAAACUCUGUUGUAAGGGAAGAACACGUACGAGAGUAACUGCUCGUACCUUGACGGUACCUUAUUAGAAAGCCACGGCUAACUACGUG